This 713-nucleotide ribosomal RNA is filed under the name Pseudomonas sp. J192. RNAcentral's name for it is "bacterial SSU rRNA". It matches the Rfam family "Bacterial small subunit ribosomal RNA", at positions 43 to 749 of the family's 1533-position model. Lineage: Bacteria; Pseudomonadati; Pseudomonadota; Gammaproteobacteria; Pseudomonadales; Pseudomonadaceae. The record is from RNAcentral.
CACUGAACACAUGCAAGUCGAGCGGAUGAGUGGAGCUUGCUCUAUGAUUCAGCGGCGGACGGGUGAGUAAUGCCUAGGAAUCUGCCUGGUAGUGGGGGACAACGUUUCGAAAGGAGCGCUAAUACCGCAUACGUCCUACGGGAGAAAGCAGGGGACCUUCGGGCCUUGCGCUAUCAGAUGAGCCUAGGUCGGAUUAGCUAGUUGGUGAGGUAAUGGCUCACCAAGGCGACGAUCCGUAACUGGUCUGAGAGGAUGAUCAGUCACACUGGAACUGAGACACGGUCCAGACUCCUACGGGAGGCAGCAGUGGGGAAUAUUGGACAAUGGGCGAAAGCCUGAUCCAGCCAUGCCGCGUGUGUGAAGAAGGUCUUCGGAUUGUAAAGCACUUUAAGUUGGGAGGAAGGGCAGUAAGUUAAUACCUUGCUGUUUUGACGUUACCGACAGAAUAAGCACCGGCUAACUUCGUGCCAGCAGCCGCGGUAAUACGAAGGGUGCAAGCGUUAAUCGGAAUUACUGGGCGUAAAGCGCGCGUAGGUGGUUUGUUAAGUUGGAUGUGAAAGCCCCGGGCUCAACCUGGGAACUGCAUCCAAACACUGGCAAGCUAGAGUAUGGCAGAGGGUGGUGGAAUUUCCUGUGUAGCGGUGAAAUGCGUAGAUAUAGGAAGGAACACCAGUGGCGAAGGCGUACCACCUGGAGCUAUAUACUGACACUGA